RNAcentral lists this long non-coding RNA (1408 nucleotides) under Astyanax mexicanus (Mexican tetra). RNAcentral's name for it is "lncRNA (ENSAMXG00005004699.1)". The record is from RNAcentral. Lineage: Eukaryota; Metazoa; Chordata; Actinopteri; Characiformes; Acestrorhamphidae.
GGUGCGUGCUGCGUCACACAGCGCGUAAGCCCCGCCCCCUCUGUCUCUAUCUCUCUCCACUCUCAAACCGAAACUGACGUUUCUCUGACUGACAUUUAGCUACAGAAUAACCACUAACCAACUAGCUAACUGCCUUUCUCACAGCCUGCAGUUUAAAAUACAUUCUUUUGGGGUCAAUUCCUGUGAAGUAGCGUUAGCUACCUGUAAUACUGGUGGCGUACGGUACAAGAUACGGGCUGUCUGUGUUAUCUUAAGGAAAUAACAUUAUUUCCGUGACAUUAUUAGCUUAACACACAUUAGCUAGCUUAACUAGUUAGUUAGCUUAUCAGCUAGCUUAGCUUAGCAGGGUGCCUGCUUCAAAGUUAGACAACCAAACAGAAGGUGGCUAACUAUAUAUAACGUUAACGUUAACUAACUUACAAAGUUUACCCAGUCUUUUUAUGACAACACCUUCCCUCCAAAUAUGUGCUGGAAAUGUUUAUGAACCAUAGAAGUGGGCAGGCUUGUCAUGUCCUGGGAAUGACUGGAGAUUGCUAGAAAUGACUGGAAAUGACCAGCAGCAGGAGGAAACACGGCGUGCUAAAGAAGCUCGGAGCCACUUUAAGAGGAGCAGGGAGGCUCAGGAAUCCGCUAACUAUCACUAACCUGUCACGCAGCCCCGAGGACCAAACACAUGCUCUCGGCAACUUGAUCUGGCUCCGACACCCGAUCCGCUCUCCCUCCCAGCCCACUCGAAACUUUAGCAGCGAAAAACGAGACGCCACAGCAUCGCCUCGCCUCUUACCUCCUCCUCCUCUUCUUCCAGCAGCAGCAGCAGCAGCAGCACAGACAGAGCAGCAGCCCUCCUCACUCCUCCUGCAUGGUGGCGCGCUGCUCCCUCUCUCAGCCUCUGCGCUUCUCUAGGGCUCGACCUGGCUCGUCACAUGAGACAGAAAGUACCUAGAGGAGCAGAAAUACGGAACUGGCCUCAGUCAGUGGAGAUGAUACGUACGCGCGUGUGUGUGUAAGGGGGGGGGUGAAAGGGGCGGAGCAGUGUGCAGCGCUUGUUUACGCAUUGCUGCUGCUUUGCUGCUUUCUUCACUCCUCUCGCAGAUCAUAUACACUGUUUGAUUGGACACUAACUAGGGCGCAGCCUUCACUCUCCCGCUGCUCGCCCGCUGUAACACCGCAGCCAGGAGCUCCAGAUUAACUAAACUAACUUAAACCUGUUUAUAAAUCCCGAAGAAGAUCCAGAAUAAGAGGUGUAAACGCUCUGGGAAAGCUGGAGGUGUGGAUAGGGGCGUUUCUGAAUAAUUUAGACUUUUAAAUGACUUUUUAAAGAAGAUUUAUUCAUUUCAUUAUAAACAAAACAAAUUCUAUAUACAGUAGAAAGAACAAAAAUCACAAAUAAAAUAAAUGAAAGGCAGCA